AUAGCCAUAUCACGUUGAAACACCUGUUCCCGUAAGAUCAUCGAAGUUAAGCAACAUCGAGCCUGGUCAGUACCUAGAUGGGUGACCGU
This is a non-coding RNA of Acanthosepion pharaonis, 89 nucleotides long. Lineage: Eukaryota; Metazoa; Mollusca; Cephalopoda; Sepiida; Sepiidae. The record is from the annotation of a GenBank genome assembly.